AGUGAACGCCGGCGGUAGGCCUAACACAUGCAAGUCGAACGGCAGCACAGUAAGAGCUUGCUCUUACGGGUGGCGAGUGGCGGACGGGUGAGGAAUACAUCGGAAUCUACUUUUUCGUGGGGGAUAACGUAGGGAAACUUACGCUAAUACCGCAUACGACCUACGGGUGAAAGCAGGGGAUCUUCGGACCUUGCGCGAUUGAAUGAGCCGAUGUCGGAUUAGCUAGUUGGCGGGGUAAAGGCCCACCAAGGCGACGAUCCGUAGCUGGUCUGAGAGGAUGAUCAGCCACACUGGAACUGAGCCACGGUCCAGACUCCUACGGGAGGCAGCAGUGGGGAAUAUUGGACAAUGGGCGCAAGCCUGAUCCAGCCGUACCGCGUGGGUGAAGAAGGCCUUCGGGUUGUAAAGCCCUUUUGUUGGGAAAGAAAAGCAGCAGGUUAAUACCCCGCUGUUCUGACGGUACCCAAAGAAUAAGCACCGGCUAACUUCGUG
This 492-nucleotide ribosomal RNA is filed under the name uncultured bacterium. Its description in RNAcentral is "partial 16S ribosomal RNA". It matches the Rfam family "Bacterial small subunit ribosomal RNA", at positions 29 to 507 of the family's 1533-position model. The record is from RNAcentral.